Molecule: ribosomal RNA, 232 nt
Filed under: uncultured bacterium
Lineage: Bacteria
Description: partial 16S ribosomal RNA
Rfam family: Bacterial small subunit ribosomal RNA
Source: RNAcentral
UGGGCAACCUGCCCCUGGCUCUGGGAUAACUCCGGGAAACCGGAGCUAAUACCGGAUACGAGACCGAUUGGCAUCUUUACGGUCUGGAAAGUUUUUCGGCCAGGGAUGGGCUCGCGGCCUAUCAGCUUGUUGGUGAGGUAAUGGCUCACCAAGGCGACGACGGGUAGCCGGCCUGAGAGGGCGACCGGCCACACUGGGACUGAGACACGGCCCAGACUCCGUACGGGAGGCA